GCUACUGAAGGAUAACAGUCAUCCAUUGGUCUUAGGACCAAAAACUCUUGGUGCAAAUCCAAGCAUUAGCU
Molecule: transfer RNA, 71 nt
Filed under: Scarus forsteni (Forsten's parrotfish)
Lineage: Eukaryota; Metazoa; Chordata; Actinopteri; Labriformes; Labridae
Description: tRNA-Leu
Rfam family: tRNA
About the family: Transfer RNA (tRNA) molecules are approximately 80 nucleotides in length. Their secondary structure includes four short double-helical elements and three loops (D, anti-codon, and T loops).
Source: RNAcentral